UAGAGUUUGAUCCUGGCUCAGGAUGAACGCUAGCGGCAGGCCUAACACAUGCAAGUCGAGGGGUAGAAGGAGCUUGCUCCUUUGAGACCGGCGCACGGGUGCGUAACGCGUAUGCAACCUACCUUCCACAGGGGAAUAGCCCAGAGAAAUUUGGAUUAAUGCCCCAUGGCACAGCGAGAUGGCAUCGUCUUGCUGUUAAAGUAACAACGGUGGAAGAUGGGCAUGCGUCCCAUUAGCUAGUUGGUAAGGUAACGGCUUACCAAGGCUAUGAUGGGUAGGGGUCCUGAGAGGGAGAUCCCCCACACUGGUACUGAGACACGGACCAGACUCCUACGGGAGGCAGCAGUGAGGAAUAUUGGUCAAUGGUCGCAAGACUGAACCAGCCAUGCCGCGUGCAGGAUGACGGUCCUAUGGAUUGUAAACUGCUUUUGUACGGGAAGAAACACUCCUACGUGUAGGAGCUUGACGGUACCGUAAGAAUAAGGAUCGGCUAACUCCGUGCCAGCAGCCGCGGUAAUACGGAGGAUCCAAGCGUUAUCCGGAAUCAUUGGGUUUAAAGGGUCCGUAGGCGGCCCUGUAAGUCAGCGGUGAAAUCUUCCAGCUCAACUGGGAAACUGCCGUUGAUACUGCAGGGCUUGAAUCGCCGGGAAGUAACUAGAAUAUGUAGUGUAGCGGUGAAAUGCUUAGAUAUUACAUGGAAUACCGAUUGCGAAGGCAGGUUACUACCGGCGUAUUGACGCUGAUGGACGAAAGCGUGGGGAGCGAACAGGAUUAGAUACCCUGGUAGUCCACGCCGUAAACGAUGGAUACUAGCUGUUCGGCGCAAGCUGAGUGGCUAAGCGAAAGUGAUAAGUAUCCCAUCCUGGGGAG
RNAcentral lists this ribosomal RNA (870 nucleotides) under Flavobacteriaceae bacterium AKB-2008-HE91. Its description in RNAcentral is "bacterial SSU rRNA". It matches the Rfam family "Bacterial small subunit ribosomal RNA", at positions 9 to 873 of the family's 1533-position model. The record is from RNAcentral. Lineage: Bacteria; Pseudomonadati; Bacteroidota; Flavobacteriia; Flavobacteriales; Flavobacteriaceae.